AGAUCAGGAUGUUUAUUUGUUGAAUGUUGGAGAUAGUAGAGCUGUUUUAGCACAAAAUCCUGAAUCUGAUAUUUCUAUUAGCAAGUUGAGAAGGAUAAAUGAGCAGAGUGUAAAUAGCAUUGAUGCACUUUAUCGACAAAAUCAGGAAUCUGAUAUUUCUAUUAGCAAGUUGAGAAGGAUAAAUGAGCAGAGUGUAAAUAGCAUUGAUGCACUUUAUCGAGCUGAAUCUGAUCGUAAACAUAAUCUAGUUCCUUCUCAACUUACUAAGGAUCAUAGCACAUCGAUUAA
Molecule: long non-coding RNA, 288 nt
Filed under: Nicotiana benthamiana
Lineage: Eukaryota; Viridiplantae; Streptophyta; Magnoliopsida; Solanales; Solanaceae
Description: long non-coding RNA (NBEN_LNC012285)
Source: RNAcentral